UUUUGACAGGCAAAGUUGGAUGUGUUACUGCCAGUUUUUGAGAGGGACUGCGCAACAGUCAACCUGAUGUCAGCCUUCCAACAAAUUUCCAGGGGGUUUGCGUGCACAACGAGUCUUACCAUUUGUGCCUGCACACACGUAGAGAGAGAGCACAGAGAAUGUGGAAAUGAUUUAAAGUUUUCUGAUAAAUUUUAAAGCUUCAUGGAAGAGCACAAACAAGUUGAAGUUGUCCAAAAGAUUAAACAUGAAAAGUAUUCUAGUCUACUUAGAGAAAAAUGCUCAAAGAGUGCUUUGCC
This 296-nucleotide long non-coding RNA is filed under the name Elaeis guineensis (African oil palm). RNAcentral describes it as "long non-coding RNA (EGUI_LNC019274)". Lineage: Eukaryota; Viridiplantae; Streptophyta; Magnoliopsida; Arecales; Arecaceae. The record is from RNAcentral.